UGGGGAAUCUUGGACAAUGGGGGCAACCCUGAUCCAGCCAUGCCGCGUGAGUGAUGAAGGCCUUAGGGUCGUAAAGCUCUUUCGCCUGUGAAGAUAAUGACGGUAGCAGGUAAAGAAACCCCGGCUAACUCCGUGCCAGCAGCCGCGGUAAUACGGAGGGGGUUAGCGUUGUUCGGAAUUACUGGGCGUAAAGCGCACGUAGGCGGACCAGAAAGUUGGGGGUGAAAUCCCGGGGGCUCAACCCCGGAACUGCCUCCAAAACUAUUGGUCUAGAGUUCGAGAGAGGUGAGUGGAAUUCCAAGUGUAGAGGUGAAAUUCGUAGAUAUUUGGAGGAACACCAGUGGCGAAGGCGGCUCACUGGCUCGAUACUGACGCUGAGGUGCGAAAAGUGUGGGGAGCAAAACAGGAUUAGAUACCCUGGUAGUCCACACCGUAAAACGAUGAAUGCCAGUCGUCGGGUAGCAUGCUAUUCGGUGACACACCUAACGGAUUAAGCAUUCCGCCUGGGGAGUACGUCGCAAGAUUAAAA
Molecule: ribosomal RNA, 529 nt
Filed under: uncultured bacterium
Lineage: Bacteria
Description: bacterial SSU rRNA
Rfam family: Bacterial small subunit ribosomal RNA
Source: RNAcentral